RNAcentral lists this ribosomal RNA (483 nucleotides) under uncultured bacterium. RNAcentral describes it as "partial 16S ribosomal RNA". It matches the Rfam family "Bacterial small subunit ribosomal RNA", at positions 29 to 523 of the family's 1533-position model. The record is from RNAcentral.
UACGAACGCUGGCGGCGUGCUUAACACAUGCAAGUCGAGCGAUGAAGCUGGAGCUUGCUCUAGCGGAUUAGUGGCGAACGGGUGAGUAACACGUGAGCAAUCUGCCCUUGACCCUGGGAUAACUGCGGGAAACUGUAGCUAAUACCGGAUACGAGACCUAGAGGCAUCUCUGAGUCUGGAAAGAAUUUCGGUCAAGGAUGAGCUCGCGGCCUAUCAGCUAGUUGGUGAGGUAAUGGCUCACCAAGGUGACGACGGGUAGCCGGCCUGAGAGGGUGACCGGCCACACUGGGACUGAGACACGGCCCAGACUCCUACGGGAGGCAGCAGUGGGGAAUAUUGCACAAUGGGCGAAAGCCUGAUGCAGCAACGCCGCGUGAGGGAUGAAGGCCUUCGGGUUGUAAACCUCUUUUAGCAGGGAAGAAGCGAAAGUGACGGUACCUGCAGAAAAAGCACCGGCUAACUACGUGCCAGCAGCCGCAGUAA